AACCGAGUCUGACCCCUUCACCGCCAUUGGCCGCCGCCCGAGACGACCCCGGAGCCCCCGCCCCACCCCCGGGGCCGCCAGGGGGUAGGUGGCCGACCCCCGGGAUGCCGGAGCGGUGUCCGGAGAGCUGGAGCCCCGAGCCUACCCCGUGGCGGAAACCCUACGAGUUGAAAGAGAUUCUGCCAACUUGGCUUUUCGUCCAAGCGAACCUGUCCGCCCCACCCUCCUUAAAGGUGGGUGGGUAUAAUGGACAACACCGAUGAAUGCGGGGCUGAUUUGGUGUAGAGGAGAAAUCAUUAAGUUUUGGAAUCGUCCAGGUCGGCCUCAGUUGCUUUGUUAUUUUGUGAUCUAGAAAGUUGCUAAAUCAUCAAGCAUCAGUUUUCUUCAUCGCUACAAUGGUCACGAGAAUGGUGCUUACCUGAGAGGCUUCUGAUCUUGAAUGUGGGAUUACUCUGAGUGGUGUCUCAUUCACCUCACUCAAGUCCCAGCCCGGGUGUGCAGAGAGCCAUUUGUGAGGUCAUUGGGGAAAACAUCCAUUAGGAAAAGAAUAAUUCUACUCAGACCAUUGUUCAACGUCUGCUUCAUGCAAGGCAGCUGACAAGGCAUGGCUGAGGAAAUGCGGAGAGACUGGCCCUUGCCCUUGCGGAACACAAGCAACUUAAAGAGGCACUAUCUUAAUAGAUAAUUUUAAUACAGUGAGACAGGAGUUAACACCAGAGGCUUGCCGUGAGCCCAGAGAGAGGACAGCGGAAGGCACAGCUCCCUGUUAGUACCUGUUCUGCAUGGCCACUUACGUAACUGUAGAUGGCAAAAUUAGGACUCAGAAAUAGUAAGUACUCUGGGCCAAAAUGAUUAACAAAUAAUGACUAUAUUCCUACAAGCUAUCUUACCCUGGCGAUUUUUUCUGUCAUACUACUGUGUGAGUAAAAUAAAGUUGCCAUCUAUUGGUUUAAUUGA
This is a long non-coding RNA of Suricata suricatta (meerkat), 957 nucleotides long. RefSeq lists it as uncharacterized. NCBI's taxonomy places the organism in Eukaryota, Metazoa, Chordata, Mammalia, Carnivora, Herpestidae. The transcript has 3 exons. The record is from RefSeq and is a predicted model, not a curated record.